RNAcentral lists this ribosomal RNA (557 nucleotides) under uncultured Bacteroidota bacterium. RNAcentral's name for it is "bacterial SSU rRNA". It matches the Rfam family "Bacterial small subunit ribosomal RNA", at positions 10 to 556 of the family's 1533-position model. The record is from RNAcentral. Lineage: Bacteria; Pseudomonadati; Bacteroidota.
AGUUUGAUCCUGGCUCAGGAUGAACGCUAGCGGCAGGCUUAAUACAUGCAAGUCGUGGGGCAGCAUGACUGUAGCAAUACAGUUGAUGGCGACCGGCAAACGGGUGCGGAACACGUACACAACCUUCCUUUUAGUGGAGAAUAGCCCAGGGAAACUUGGAUUAAUACUCCGUAACAUAUAGAAGUGGCAUCACUUUUAUAUUAUAGCCGCAAUGCGCUAGAAGAUGGGUGUGCGGCUGAUUAGAUAGUUGGCGGGGUAACGGCCCACCAAGUCGACGAUCAGUAACUGGUGUGAGAGCACGACCUGUCACACGGGCACUGAGACACGGGCCCGACUCCUACGGGAGGCAGCAGUAAGGAAUAUUGGUCAAUGGACGCAAGUCUGAACCAGCCAUGCCGCGUGGAGGAUGAAGGUCCUCUGGAUUGUAAACUUCUUUUAUCUGGGAAGAAAUCCAUUUUUUCUAAAAUGGUUGACGGUACCAGAUGAAUAAGCACCGGCUAACUCCGUGCCAGCAGCCGCGGUAAUACGGAGGGUGCAAGCGUUAUCCGGAUUCACUG